CGGCCAUUCAAAAUACCAAAAUAAAUACUCCCAUAGCCCGACCAGAGCUUGGACUAGGGAGUAGGGGAUAUCUGUUAAGAGUAAUUUGGAAUGGAUCGAUGAUGUAUGAAAAUUCAAGCCUAUUAUAACCCAUCGGGUCUAUAUCAGCGCAUCUCAAGCGGCCUAAUUAUUGUGGUUUGUCCGAUCUCUGAUCGGCAAAUAUCUAUCCCGACCCUUGGUCGGAGGCUAUUCUGUCCGACCCUUCAUCAACAUAUUCUUGAUCCGACUUCUGAUCUAAAAGAGCUAGUCAGAGUACACACCUUAAGCAAUGCAGUCACAUGAUUGAUUAUGACUCGUCCAACUCCUAAUCGGCCGGCAACUGGCUCCGAGCCUUAGUCGGCACACCACACUCUCUAAUCUCUCCUCGAAAACAGAUUGAUCAGGCUCAGAUUCAAAAGGCAGGCACUAACUGAUUACAGCUAUCAAUCCUAUCUGGGUGCAACCGUCUGAUCCUGAGAAUCUUGUAGAUGCAAUCGCUUGAUCUUGAGAAUCACGACCAAAUAAUCGUACCAGAUUCGAUCAGCC
Molecule: long non-coding RNA, 564 nt
Filed under: Elaeis guineensis (African oil palm)
Lineage: Eukaryota; Viridiplantae; Streptophyta; Magnoliopsida; Arecales; Arecaceae
Description: long non-coding RNA (EGUI_LNC078203)
Source: RNAcentral